This 542-nucleotide ribosomal RNA is filed under the name uncultured bacterium. RNAcentral's name for it is "bacterial SSU rRNA". It matches the Rfam family "Bacterial small subunit ribosomal RNA", at positions 356 to 896 of the family's 1533-position model. The record is from RNAcentral.
GAGGAAUAUUGGUCAAUGGGCGAGAGCCUGAACCAGCCAAGUAGCGUGCAGGAUGACGGCCCUAUGGGUUGUAAACUGCUUUUAUGUGGGGAUAAAGUGAGCUACGUGUAGUUUAUUGCAGGUACCACAUGAAUAAGGACCGGCUAAUUCCGUGCCAGCAGCCGCGGUAAUACGGAAGGUCCAGGCGUUAUCCGGAUUUAUUGGGUUUAAAGGGAGCGUAGGCCGUGGAUUAAGCGUGUUGUGAAAUGUAGACGCUCAACGUCUGAAUUGCAGCGCGAACUGGUUCACUUGAGUAUGCACAACGUAGGCGGAAUUCGUCGUGUAGCGGUGAAAUGCUUAGAUAUGACGAAGAACUCCGAUUGCGAAGGCAGCUUACGGGAGCACAACUGACGCUGAAGCUCGAAGGUGCGGGUAUCAAACAGGAUUAGAUACCCUGGUAGUCCGCACAGUAAACGAUGGAUGCCCGUUGUUAGUUCACUUACGAAUUAGCGACCAAGCGAAAGCAUUAAGCAUCCCACCUGGGGAGUACGCCGGCAACGGUG